This 3314-nucleotide long non-coding RNA is filed under the name Piliocolobus tephrosceles (Ugandan red Colobus). RNAcentral's name for it is "lncRNA (ENSPTEG00000006106.1)". The record is from RNAcentral. Lineage: Eukaryota; Metazoa; Chordata; Mammalia; Primates; Cercopithecidae.
UUAUGUACAUAUAAAUAUUUAUACAUGUAUAACUAUAACCGUUUGAAAUACGCUUAUUCAUCCUUUUCCAUAUAAAUUUUAUUAGAGGAACAGAUGCUGCUAUAUUUUCACGAGUUUUACAAGUCUAUUUCAAAAAACGAAACAGAACGGGCUCAAAAGAUAUUUAAUGAUAUGACUCAGGACAUGAAAAAAUUUUUUGUCAUAUAUGACAAAAAGAAUAAAAAUGACUUAAUUGAAAAAAUAAAGCAGUCUUUUAAAAAAGAUCAUAAUGACAUAAAUAUAAUAGAUAUUAAAAAAAACAACGAUAAAGAAGAUAUAGGGACUAACAAACUUGAUAACUACUCCACUUGUGACAAUUUAAAUAAUAAUAUCAGUGACAAUACUCUAAACACAAAUUAUUAUAAGAACAAAUAUGAACUAGGAAAAGAAUAUGAGAAUAAUUUUACAAACCAUAAUACGUUUUUAAAUACAAAUUUAUUUGAUGACAUAAAUAUAAAAGACAUAGAGAAAGAGCAAUAUAACUUUGAUAUUAUAUAUUUAUAUCAAAAAUAUGUUAUGGAAAAAAUAGAGGGGGGAGGUGAAAAGGAACAAGCUGUUCCAGAGCGGAUUAUGUCAGAGCAAACCAUGUCAAAGCAAACCAUGUUAGACACCAAAACCAAAACAAGCAUAUCAAACGAAUCAAAUUUUUACGGAACGUUCGAAUAUUUCAUUAAUUUAUUGUGUUUAUUAUAUUUUUUAAAAAAUAUAUAUUUCGAUUUAAAUUAUAAAACAACAAAAAAUGCAUAUUCUUUUUUAUUCAAAGGUUUUGAAGAAAGAAAAAAUAAAAUUAUCAACUAUUUGUUUUUUCUUAAAAAAAUAAAAAUGUAUAUAAUUAUGGAUAAUGAAAUUAUAAAAAUAUAUUGUAAUUAUUUUCAAUAUAUUUAUAUUAACGAAUAUUUAAUUCGGAAUAUAUUUGAUGUGUCAAUGAAUACUUUUAUUUUUACUGCUGUAAUAAAUUUUCAAAACAAAUAUGCAAAAAUGGAAUCAAAAACUCAUGAUAGUAUACCACCAAUUGGUAGUGAUACUAACGACCAAAUUAGUCUUAAUCAUAGCGUAAGUCCUACUUCUACCUUUACUUCUUCAGAUAAUCAGAACAUUUUUAAAGUCAAUGACAACAGCAACAGUGAAAGCGGUAUUAGUAACAAUCAUAAUAAAAUAUAUAAAAACAAUUUUGAAAAUACAAACGAUGUGAUAAAAGAUAAAAACGACACAUAUGAUGAUACUAAUGAUGAUGAUUAUAAAAAAAGUUAUGCAUAUACAAAAUUAAGUACUACAUUUGUUUCGAAUGAAAAUAAGAAUAAAAAAAGUAAAGGAUUAUAUAUAGAAACAAUAUACAAACUUUGUGAUAUUGACGAUAUUUAUUCAAGCAAACGAAUUAAUAACUUAUUUUAUUUUUUUAAUAAUCCUUAUUUAAUUUUUACAUUUCAUAAAAAUGUUUUGUAUUAUAUUGAACAAAAAAAUAAUGAAAAAAAUUUUUUUUCAUUUUAUAAAAAUUCAUAUUCUCUAAUUAAAUAUCUGAAUCAUAGUAUAACAACCAUUUCAAAAAUUUUACAUAUAUUUGUAACUGCUGGUAUCUUUUUUAAUAGAAAUAUUAUGAAACAACAAAAAAAUAAAUAUUUAAACUUUUAUAAAUUAUUAAAUUUUAAUAAUAGUAUUUUUAACAGUUUGAGGCAGAGCGAAAAAGAGAAAGAGAAAGAGAAAGAGAAAGAGAAAGAGAAGGAGAAAAGGGAAAAUGAUAGACAUAAUAAAGAAAUACAAAAAUUGCAUGACCGAGACACGUACAAAGUAGGAAAUCCUAUCAAUGCUAAUGCUAGUAACGCUAUUCAUAACAAUAGCAAUGGAACAUAUAAUGGAACCGGAAACAAUACUCUCAAGCACGACCAAAGUCUUAGUCAGGGUAAGAUCCCAAAUCACUUAAAUAACAACAACAAUUUAUUCGAAUACAAUACGUUUUCGUCCGAAUUAGAACAAAAUUUUAUGAAUUACUCGUAUAAUAAAAAAUUAGUACAAAACGACGAGUACCCAAAUAAUAGUAGAAAUCAAGAAAGCUCUAUUUAUAACACAGAUAUAAAUUUUGAAAACACGAAUAUAUAUGAUUUUAACAUUAUUAAAUAUUUAAAUAAGUANNNNNNNNNNNNNNNNNNNNNNNNNNNNNNNNNNNNNNNNNNNNNNNNNNNNNNNNNNNNNNNNNNNNNNNNNNNNNNNNNNNNNNNNNNNNNNNNNNNNAACAAUAAUAAAAAUAAUAAUAAUAAAAAUAAUAACAAUAAUAAUAAUAAUAACAAUUUUAAUAAACAACAAGAAAAAUUAAAUGAACAAAAUAUAAAUCAAGGGGAAAAAAAUUUAUAUAAUUAUGAUAGUAGUAUUAGUACUAAGUAUAAAAAAAGAAAAAAAAAAAAAAAAAUGCAUGAAUCAUAUAAAAACAGUGUACCUUUUUUUAAAGAAAAUAAUACAUACAUGUUAGGUAGGAUGAAAAAAAACGAACAAUAUGACAACGGACACGAUUCGUAUGAAUACGAUAGCUCUGACAUGAAUAGUGAGACUUAUUGGAGCAAAAGAAGUAAUAACAAAUAUUAUGAAAAGAACCAAAAAAAUUAUACUCAAAGAAGCAAAUACAAUAGUAGUUGUAGUAGUGAUAAUACUACUAACAACUACGAAAAUGAAAAUGACAAAAUGCAUUUCAAUAAUAUGAAUGACGUAAAAAGAAGUAACGUUGAUUGGGAACAUCCCCACGGUAUAAGUAAGUAUAAAAUGAGACGACAACAAGAGGAAAGUGGUCAUAUAAGCAGUGUUAGUAAUAAUAGUAAUAAUAGUAGGAGUAGUAGUAGUAGUAGUAGUAGUGGUGGUAGUAGUGGAACUGGUAGUAGCAGUAAUCCUAGUAGUCAUACAACCGACUACGAAAGGAAGGAAAAAACGUUAGAAAAACAUGGUAAUUACGGAAGAGGCAAAGGUAAAAGCAAUUUCAACUAUAACAGCACAUUCAAAAAGGAAAAUUCAUUUAAAAGCAACCAAAUAAAUGAAUCCAUUUUUAACGACAUACUUAAGAAAGUAAAAAAAAAAAAAAAAUUCUAUGAGGUCAUAGCAAACAUGAACAAAAUGAAAACAUGCUUUGACUUAAGUGCGAUAAAUAAAAAUAAAAAUAUAAAUUAUAAUUAUGUUGAAAAUGUUGACAGCAUUCCUUAUUUUAUCAGUAUAAUUAAUUCAAAUAACAUUUUCCAAUAUGAUUUUUAUUUUUUAAAAUUCAUAACAGAAGUAACUAAUAUUUAUAAUAUGUAUAU